Molecule: ribosomal RNA, 497 nt
Filed under: uncultured bacterium
Lineage: Bacteria
Description: partial 16S ribosomal RNA
Rfam family: Bacterial small subunit ribosomal RNA
Source: RNAcentral
GAUGAACGCUGGCGGCGUGCCUAAUACAUGCAAGUCGAGCGAACAGACGAGGAGUUUGCCCCUCUGACGUUAGCGGCGGACGGGUGAGUAACACGUGGAUAACCUACCUAGUAGACGGGGAUAACUUCGGGAAACCGUAGCUAAUGCAUGCGAAUAUAUUGAACCGCAUGGUGCAAUAGUGAAAUACGGCUUUGCUGUUGCUUAUAGAUGGAUCCGCGCCGCAUUAGCUAGUUGGUAAGGUAACGGCUUACCAAGGCAACGAUCCGUAGCCGACCUGAGAGGGUGAUCGGCCACACUGGAACUGAGACACGGUCCAGACUCCUACGGGAGGCAGCAGUAGGGAAUCUUCCGCAAUGGGCGAAAGCCUGACGGAGCAAUGCCGCGUGAGUGAUGAAGGUCUUCGGAUCGUAAAACACUGUUAUUAGGGAAGAAAAACUGUGUAAGUAAAUAUGCACGUCUUGACGGUACCUAAAGAGAAAGCAACGGCUAACUACGUG